RNAcentral lists this ribosomal RNA (393 nucleotides) under uncultured bacterium. RNAcentral describes it as "partial 16S ribosomal RNA". It matches the Rfam family "Bacterial small subunit ribosomal RNA", at positions 523 to 918 of the family's 1533-position model. The record is from RNAcentral.
AUACGGAGGAUCCAAGCGUUAUCCGGAUUUAUUGGGUUUAAAGGGUGCGUAGGCGGACUGGUAAGUCAGCUGUGAAAGUUUGCGGCUUAACCGUAAAAUUGCAGUUGAUACUGUCAGUCUUGAGUGUGCAUGAGGUGGGCGGAAUUCGUGGUGUAGCGGUGAAAUGCUUAGAUAUCACGAAGAACUCCGAUUGCGAAGGCAGCUUGCUGGACUGUAACUGACGCUGAUGCUCGAAAGUGUGGGUAUCAAACAGGAUUAGAUACCCUGGUAGUCCACACAGUAAACGAUGAAUACUCGCUGUUUGCGAUAUACAGUAAGCGGCCAAGCGAAAGCGUUAAGUAUUCCACCUGGGGAGUACGCCGGCAACGGUGAAACUCAAAGGAAUUGACGGGG